This 1557-nucleotide ribosomal RNA is filed under the name Triticum aestivum (bread wheat). Its description in RNAcentral is "partial small subunit ribosomal RNA". The record is from RNAcentral. Lineage: Eukaryota; Viridiplantae; Streptophyta; Magnoliopsida; Poales; Poaceae.
AUGGACGUCACGGCAUGGGCAUGGGCCUCCUUCCUGGCCGUCGUCCUCGUCGUCCUAACCAUUCUCCGCCGUGGCCGUGGCUCGCAGCCGCAGGGGAACAGGCUUCCACCAGGACCGAAGCCGUGGCCCGUGAUCGGCAACCUCAAUCUCAUCGGCGCGCUGCCGCACCGCUCCAUCCACGAGCUGUCCAAGCAGUACGGCCCGUUGAUGCAGCUCCGGUUCGGGUCCUUCCCCGUCGUGGUGGGCUCCUCGGCCGAGAUGGCCAGGUUCUUCCUCAAGACCCACGACACGGUGUUCGCCGACCGGCCAAGGACCGCCGCCGGCAAGCACACCACCUACAACUACUCCGACGUCCUGUGGGCGCCCUACAACGCCCACUUCCGCCGCGCGCGCAGGCUCUUCGCCACCGAGCUGUUCAGCGCGGCGCGGCUCGAGUCCUACAAGCACAUCCGCCACGAGGAGGUGAGCGCGCUGCUGCGCGACCUGGCCGCGGCCGCUCACGGGGCAUCUGGCCGUGCCGUGCCGCUCAGGGGACACCUCUUUGCGGCGACCAACGGCAUCAUCUCGCGGGUGGUGCUGGGCAAGAAGUACGCGGAGAAGGAGGCAGGAGGCUCGGCAGCCAUGGCGCUGGAGGAUUUGUCGGGCUUAAUUGAGGAGUUUUUCCUUCUCAACGGCGUGAUCAACGUCGGCGAUUUCAUUCCGUGGUUCGACUGGCUGGACCUGCAAGGGUACGUCCGGAGGAUGAAGAAGUACAGCAAGAAGAUGGACCGCUUUCUCGAGCAUGUCCUGGAGGAACACGAGGAGCGCCGGCGUGUCAAGGGGGAGCAGUUCGUGGCGAGGGACAUGGUGGACGUGCUGCUGCAGCUCGCCGACAAUCCUAACCGGCUUGACCGAGACACCGUCAAGGCUCUCACUCAGGUAUGCAUGCAGGAACUUAUCGUCGGGGGUUCAGAUACCUCCAGUGUAACCAUGGAGUGGGCGAUGUCGGAGGUUCUCAGGAACCCUGAGGUCUUGGGCAAGGCCACCAAGGAGCUCGACCGUGUGGUCGGCCGUGACAGGAUGGUCAUGGAGAAGGACAUCCCAGACCUCCCUUACAUAGAGGCCAUCGUGAAGGAGGCGAUGCGCAUGCACCCGGUGUCGCCCAUGUUGGCGCCCCACCUCGCACGCGAGGACGCGUCCGUCGACGGCCACGACAUCCCCGCCGGCACGCUCGUCCUCGUCAACGUGUGGGCCAUCGGCCGUGACCCGACCUAUUGGGACGCGCCGGAGGAGUUCCGACCAGAGAGGUUUAUGGGGAGCAAGAUCGACGUGAAGGGGCAGGACAUGGAGCUGCUACCGUUCGGGGCCGGCCGCCGGAUGUGCCCCGGGUAUAGCCUGGGACUGAAGGUGGUGCAGUUGAUCGUCGCCAAUCUUCUGCAUGGCUUCACGUGGGGGCUCCCUGACGGCACAACGAUGGAGCAACUCAACAUGGAGGAGAUAUAUGGGCUCACCACUGCGCGCAAGUUCCCGUUAGAGGCAGUGGUGGAGCCUAAGCUCCAAGAACACGUCUUCUCGUAG